GACGAACGCUGGCGGCGUGCCUAAUACAUGCAAGUAGAACGCACAGUUUAUACCGUAGCUUGCUACACCAUAGACUGUGAGUUGCGAACGGGUGAGUAACGCGUAGGUAACCUGCCUGGCAGCGGGGGAUAACUAUUGGAAACGAUAGCUAAUACCGCAUAAUAUUAAUUAUUGCAUGAUAAUUAAUUGAAAGGUGCAAUUGCACCACUACCAGCUGGAUCUGCGUUGUAUUAGCUAGUAGGCGAGGUAACGGCUCACCUAGGCGACGAUACAUAGCCGACCGGGAGGGGGGGACAGCCACACUGGGACGGGGACACGGCCCAGACUCCUACGGGAGGCAGCAGUAGGGAAUCUUCGGCAAUGGACGAAAGUCUUACCGAGCAACGCCGCGUGAGUGAAGAAGGUUUUCGGAUCGUAAAGCUCUGUUGUAAGAGAAGAACGGGUGUGAGAGUGGAAAGUUCACACUGUGACGGUAUCUUACCAGAAAGGGACGGCUAACUACGUG
RNAcentral lists this ribosomal RNA (505 nucleotides) under uncultured bacterium. RNAcentral's name for it is "partial 16S ribosomal RNA". It matches the Rfam family "Bacterial small subunit ribosomal RNA", at positions 28 to 507 of the family's 1533-position model. The record is from RNAcentral.